This 16-nucleotide small RNA is filed under the name Arabidopsis thaliana (thale cress). Its description in RNAcentral is "ATSL132670". Lineage: Eukaryota; Viridiplantae; Streptophyta; Magnoliopsida; Brassicales; Brassicaceae. The record is from RNAcentral.
AAAAAGACAAUAAAAA